UAGGGCUGUUAUCUGUUAUCUAGGUGUGAGGAAGGGGAUUUGGGUGGGAAAGGAGAGGGGAGUCGCUGAAUGGAAAGUGAGUGAGGAGGAAAGAGAUAAAGGAUGCUGAGGAGAAAGGCAGCAGGUUUGACCGAGAUUCCCAGCUGCCCAGUCUCUGAAUAUCAGAACUUAUUUACAUGCUGUCGGGAGAGGGGCAGAGAGCAGAACUUUCCAAAGCAUGAAGUUCAAGAGUCCGAAUAUCUGAUUCUACUCCUUUUCAAAACUGUGUCACCAAAUCCUGUUCAGUUCCUAAAGCCCCACCCUCGGAUUCCCAUGUGCCUGUCUUCAAACAUGCUCCUACUGUGUGCAACAUGAAAUCAACUGAAAAGUCUUCAGAAGGCAGAUAUUCAAAGAAACUUGCUACAGAGCACAGAAGUUGUAUAAUAGUGAUCCGAUUGAAGCAGAAUGUUGUGUAUAAGGAGUUGAAAGAACACUAAAAUUGGUGGCAACCUUGCCACUUGCAAGCUUCGUGAUUUAAGUCCUCAGGGCAACUCUGUGAGAUGGAAACUGAGUGAAGCUGAAGGAGGUGGAAAUUUGCUCCAGGGAAACAGCUCUCACGCGACAAAGGCGGAAGGCAAACCUAGGUCUCGCUGACUCCAAGUCUGUGUUCUUUCCAUCACUAGGGAAGAAGAGGCACAUGAAUGACUGAAACUAAAAACAAACGUUAAAACGCUAUCAAUUUUGCACAUAAUAGAAGGGAGAAAUUAUGAUCACUACAAUGCUGGGAAUGUACAUCUUAACAUAUUGCUCCUAAUUUCUUAUCAGCAGAUUUUAAAAAUGCAUCUAUCUAGGUUUGCUUUAAAAAUAGAUCAGUUAGAAGGCAAAAUUGUACGAGUGGAUAUUAUUAAUGAUACUGAAUUUCCAUGUAUGUGAACUAGCAUUGAGUGGCACUUUGAUAACACUCAUCUAAUCCUAUUUAGUGCCCUUUCUCUCUUUUGCUGUCAAAGCCUAGGUACGGGUUCGUGCUUUGUCUCAUAACCUCUUGGUUAAAAUGUAACA
Molecule: long non-coding RNA, 1038 nt
Filed under: Homo sapiens (human)
Lineage: Eukaryota; Metazoa; Chordata; Mammalia; Primates; Hominidae
Description: HSALNT0299515
Source: RNAcentral